This 317-nucleotide ribosomal RNA is filed under the name uncultured sulfate-reducing bacterium. RNAcentral's name for it is "partial 16S ribosomal RNA". The record is from RNAcentral.
CAGCCCCGGUCCAUCGCACCGCGGAAUGGCGCUGGUGAAAGCCGUCAUGGACGACCUGUACGAUGUACUUCCACAUCAUUAACAUGCCCGGCCCUCGUUGCGCAUCGCCCUGGCCUGCUGCCUCAACAUGUGCGGCGCGGUCCACUGCUCCGACAUCGCCAUCCUGGGCAUCCACCGCAAGCCGCCCGUGGUCGACCACGAGUAGAUCGACAACGUGUGCGAAAUUCCCUCUGGUCAUCGCGUCCUGCCCCACCGGCGCCAUUAAGCCCGAUCAAGACGUCAGGAGGCGUAAACAUCCAAGAAGAACAGUGGCCUGU